Molecule: long non-coding RNA, 484 nt
Organism: Monopterus albus (swamp eel)
Lineage: Eukaryota; Metazoa; Chordata; Actinopteri; Synbranchiformes; Synbranchidae
Exons: 3
Source: RefSeq, a predicted model, not a curated record
AAAUGGGUGACACUUCUGACAACUGAAGAACAUAAAAGACGCCUAGUAAUGCAGUAUUUCCCCUUCCGUUACAUUACGGGGGGCGCCCCGCACACACAGGACAGAGAGCGCGCGAUGCGCCCCACUCCCCAAAGCUGUGAGCCUUGCAGGCCAGGAGCCACACAAUGGCUACUGGUGACUGCUAUGCUAGUAGCCUUUUCAGGUGGAUGGCACAGUGGUUGAAAUCACUGAUUGUGAUACGGCAGGUGGUGUUCGCGGCCAGUCGUGGGUCCUUCCAAGGCCUUUAGUGCUAUCCGCUGAGCGAGGUACACCAUGAACGCUACGGCGAGGAGGAGUCAGGACGCCAGGGAAUGUGGGGGGAGAUGUCAUCCUCCCCCACGGCCGAAGAAUAUUCGCUUUCGGACAGGGGCCAUCAGCCACAGUGAUUUGAAGACAAAGAUGGAAUCCAGAUUUGUGAUGAAGACAGCGGAUUCUGCUAUUGUCA